GGCGAACGGUUGAGUAACAAGUGGGCAACCUGCCCCUAGCUCUGGGACAACUCCUCGAAAGAGGGGCUAAUACCGGAUAUGACUGCAGAAGGCAUUUUCUGUGGUGGAAAGUUUUUCGGCUAGGGAUGGGCCCGCGGCCUAUCAGCUUGUUGGUGGGGUAAUGGCCUACCAAGGCGACGACGGGUAGCCGGCCUGAGAGGGCGACCGGCCACACUGGGACUGAGACACGGCCCAGACUCCUACGGGAGGCAGCAGUGGGGAAUAUUGCGCAAUGGGCGAAAGCCUGACGCAGCGACGCCGCGUGAGGGAUGACGGCCUUCGGGUUGUAAACCUCUUUCAGCAGGGACGAAGCGAGAGUGACGGUACCUGCAGAAGAAGCACCGGCCAACUACGUGCCAGCAGCCGCGGUAAUACGUAGGGUGCGAGCGUUGUCCGGAAUUACUGGGCGUAAAGAGCUCGUAGGCGGUUUGUCACGUCGGCUGUGAAAACCCAUCGCUCAACGGUGGGCUUGCAGUCGAUACGGGCUGACUUGAGUACUGCAGGGGAGACUGGAAUUCCUGGUGUAGCGGUGAAAUGCGCAGAUAUCAGGAGGAACACCGGUGGCGAAGGCGGGUCUCUGGGCAGUAACUGACGCUGAGGAGCGAAAGCGUGGGUAGCAAACAGGAUUAGAUACCCUGGUAGUCCACGCCGUAAACGGUGGGUGCUAGGUGUGGGUUUCCUUCCACGGGAUCCGUGCCGUAGCUAACGCAUUAAGCACCCCGCCUGGGGAGUACGGCCGCAAGGCUAAAACUCAAAUGAAUUGACGGGGGCCUGCACAAGCGGUGGAGCAUGUGGGUUUAA
Molecule: ribosomal RNA, 840 nt
Filed under: uncultured bacterium
Lineage: Bacteria
Description: bacterial SSU rRNA
Rfam family: Bacterial small subunit ribosomal RNA
Source: RNAcentral